RNAcentral lists this long non-coding RNA (345 nucleotides) under Physcomitrium patens. Its description in RNAcentral is "long non-coding RNA (PPAT_LNC004563)". The record is from RNAcentral. Lineage: Eukaryota; Viridiplantae; Streptophyta; Bryopsida; Funariales; Funariaceae.
UCUUAAAAGACUACUCAAAAUUCAUAAAUUCCCAUCCAACACUAAGAAAACAGACUUCACUUUAACCAAUCUGGAUUCACAAAAUUUUUAUAAUCACAGACUACCUCUGUCUAAAACACACGCAACUCUCGAUAAACAACAAUCAUAAUCUUUCAAUCAUAAUCAAUCUUCUAAUAACUUCUCAUAUAAUUCAAUCACAUGAUAUUCCAAUUACAUAAUCAAUAACUCAUAAAUCAAUCUUUGAUUUAUUCCACAGACUCACUUCUCAGUAUUCAAAAACUAUCCAUUACUCUUCAAUAACAAAAAUAAUAAAGAAAACAAAGAGGUAGCACCAAGCUUAACUCC